RNAcentral lists this ribosomal RNA (467 nucleotides) under uncultured bacterium. Its description in RNAcentral is "partial 16S ribosomal RNA". It matches the Rfam family "Bacterial small subunit ribosomal RNA", at positions 28 to 507 of the family's 1533-position model. The record is from RNAcentral.
GAUGAACGCUGGCGGCGUGCUUAACACAUGCAAGUCGAACGGAAAGGCCCAAGCUUGCUUGGGUACUCGAGUGGCGAACGGGUGAGUAACACGUGGGUGAUCUGCCCUGCACUUCGGGAUAAGCCUGGGAAACUGGGUCUAAUAUCGGAUAGGACCACUUCUUCGAUGUUGUGGUGGAAAGUUUUUUCGGUGUGGGAUGAGCUCGCGGCCUAUCAGCUUGUUGGUGGGGUAAUGGCCUACCAAGGCGUCGACGGGUAGCCGGCCUGAGAGGGUGUACGGCGACAUUGGGACUGAGAGACGGCCCAGACUCCUAAGGGAGGCAGAAGUGGGGAAUAUUGCACAAUGGGCGCAAGCCUGAUGCAGCGACGCCGCGUGGGGGAUGACGGCCUUCGGGUUGUAAACUCCUUUCGCUAGGGACGAAGCGUUUUGUGACGGUACCUGGAGAAGAAGCACCGGCUAACUACGUG